AGCACAACAGAUUUCCCAGUGUCCGAAUCAGAAACAUGAGGAGCCUUAGGUGCAGCAACUCCUCCACCAGAAUUGGCUUCUCGUGCAUCAUGAUGCACUUGUUCUUCUCCCACACAUUGACCUUGUUCUUUGUCAUCACAUCCAUCCUGAUGCUUUUCUUCUUGUUCUUUUUGUUCUUCGUCAUCACAUCCAUCCUGCUGCAUCUGUUUUUGUUCUUUCUCUACAUAAUGAUCCUUUGAAGAUUCUGCUCGCUCUCCACCCUCAAGAAUUCUGCCAUCCUUUUCCCGUUCUUGCUUCCCUUCCUCACCUUCUAAGGUCUCAAACUCAUGAGUU
This 333-nucleotide long non-coding RNA is filed under the name Populus trichocarpa (black cottonwood). Its description in RNAcentral is "long non-coding RNA (PTRI_LNC000527)". Lineage: Eukaryota; Viridiplantae; Streptophyta; Magnoliopsida; Malpighiales; Salicaceae. The record is from RNAcentral.